This 253-nucleotide ribosomal RNA is filed under the name uncultured bacterium. RNAcentral describes it as "partial 16S ribosomal RNA". It matches the Rfam family "Bacterial small subunit ribosomal RNA", at positions 524 to 776 of the family's 1533-position model. The record is from RNAcentral.
GACAGAGGUCCCGAGCGUUAGGCGGAAUCACUGGGCUUAAAGCGUGUGUAGGCGGAUCGUUAAGUACCUUGUGAAAUCCCACGGCUUAACCGUGGAACUGCUUGGUAUACUGGCGGUCUUGAGCCAGCUAGGGGCUACCGGAACAAAUGGUGGAGCGGUGAAAUGCGUAGAUAUCAUUUGGAACGCCAAUGGUGAAAACAGGUAGCUGGGGCUGUGCUGACGCUGAGACACGAAAGCCAGGGGAGCAAACGGG